This 76-nucleotide transfer RNA is filed under the name Cratilla metallica. RNAcentral describes it as "tRNA-Val". The record is from RNAcentral. Lineage: Eukaryota; Metazoa; Arthropoda; Insecta; Odonata; Libellulidae.
AAUUUAAUUGUGCAAUUCAAUUUAAUUUGAUAAUUAAAGUCUUACUUAAUUUAUUUAGUUAUUUAUGAGAAAUAUC